GUAGGGAAUAUUGGGCAAUGGAUGCAAGUCUGACCCAGCCAUCCCGCGUGCCGGAAGAAGGCCCUCAGGGUUGUAAACGGCUUUUGACGGUGAAGAAUCGACAGGAUGCGUCCUGUUUUGACGGUAGCCGUUGAAUAAGCACCGGCUAACUCCGUGCCAGCAGCCGCGGUAGUACGGAGGGUGCGAGCGUUGUCCGGAUUUAUUGGGUUUAAAGGGUGCGUAGGCUGGAAGGUCAGUCAGCGGUGAAAAGCUAUCGCUUAACGAUAGUCUUGCCGCAGAUACUUCCUUUCUUGGAUGAGGAGGAGGCCACUGGAACGGAUGGUGUAGCGGUGAAAUGCAUAGAUAUCAUCCAGAACACCGAUUGCGAAGGCAGGUGGCUGUACCUUAAUCGACGCUGAUGCACGAAAGCAUGGGGAGCAAACAGGAUUAGAUACCCUUGUAGUCC
Molecule: ribosomal RNA, 445 nt
Filed under: uncultured bacterium
Lineage: Bacteria
Description: partial 16S ribosomal RNA
Rfam family: Bacterial small subunit ribosomal RNA
Source: RNAcentral